Long non-coding RNA from Apis mellifera (honey bee), 6500 nucleotides. RefSeq lists it as uncharacterized. Lineage: Eukaryota; Metazoa; Arthropoda; Insecta; Hymenoptera; Apidae. The transcript is spliced from 2 exons. The record is from RefSeq and is a predicted model, not a curated record.
GAAAGUUCUCGCUGUUUAAGACACUGUCGUUUCCAUUAUAUCGCGCAAGCGUGGAUUUCACGCGGUUUUUACAUCUUCAUUAUCCCCGUGUAUCGAAUAGAAAUCUCAAUAUUCAAUCUCUCGGAUCAACUUCGAUCGGAUCACCGUCGUUCCCGUGGAGUAUCUAAAAUUACUCCGGGGAAAGAAAAGUUUCUUCCAUUUCAAAUUCCAUUCCUCCCUGCUCCGCCGUCUCUCCUUUCAUCCCCUUUCACGACGACGGCUACCGAGGAGUAUCUCGCGAAAAAUUGUCCGGCAGCAUCCGAAGUUUAGCUCGAAAGCUAGCUAGUGAGGCGAGGGGAAAGUAAAACUGAGGGGGAGGAGCGGGAUAAAGGCGCGUCCGCCCGCCGCUUCACUCGCCACGCGACGAGGGGCGCGAGAGUUUCCGCUUUGCUACUUUCGUCAGUGCAUCGCAAACACCGGCGAAGAAAGAAAGAUAUCGCGGUGAAAAGAAGGAGCAGGAAGCGGGGCGGGGUGCGGAGGCGGGCGGGACGACGACUGGCUCGCUUCACAGGGCUAAAUCGCGGACUUUUUUCACGUGCUUACACGGAGAAAGCCCUGAAAUAUUAAGCGUGCAAUUACCAGACCCAUUCACCGUGAUGCAACGUUGAGACACGCGUCGGUAACGCACGGGGCGACGGGGACGACGAUGGGUGACGGAUAAAGAAAGGAAGAGAAAGAGAGAAGAGAGAGAGGGAGGGAGAAGGAGGCUGGUGCAAGGGAGAAGGAGAGGUGGAGAAGGGAGAGAAACCCUGUCCUCGGCUGGAAGUCGACGAAAGGACAGAGAGGUACAUAUACUCUGUUCCGUUUCGCUUUCUCCAUCCCCUUUUUCUCUACACGUCGAUUCAAUGCGAUGAUAAAAAGCGCGCUAGGCAAAAAAAUGAAAAGCUUUUUGAGUCCGUCGAGCUCGGAUGAAGCGCGCGGGCGAACCUGUGUGCCGUCGUCACAUUGUUUCGAGCUUCGUUCACGAUGCACCCCGCCACGUCCACCACCCCCGCGUCACGUCGCCAUCUUGUCGUUGCUGAGUCGUCGUUAAAAAAAAAAAAGAAAGGAGAAAAAGAACGAAAGGAAGAAAUAAUAAUCUCCGGCUAAUAAGUAUUAUUGGGACAACCGAGUUUUGAAUUUCUCUCGAAAAGAAUUCUCUGGAAAUUCCUUUCAACUCGCGUCAUUUGUAAUCGGAAUAGGAGGAAGAGACGAGGAUAAGGGAUGAUAUAAUCGAGACAAAGGGAAGCACGAGUGGAGAGAUUGAAAGAAUAAGGGAAUAAAUAAGUGCGAACGUUGGGGACGUUCAACAGGUACAGCGGCGAACUUUUUGAAUAUUCAUGAAAUGUCCAUUAAACGGGGUAUAAUUUGUUUUCUUUGUGGAACGCCCUUAUGCACGGGAGGGGGAGAGGGGGAGGCGUGAUCUAUUUCAGACGCUUGGUUUUAAAAUCUCGAAGGGAAAUAGGUCGGGGCGAGGCAACCCUCUCCUCCUCCUCCUCCUCCUCCUCACUCGAUACCGCGCGAGAUCCAGGGAAUUUGCAUUCUGGUCGAUGGAACUCUCCGGUAAGAUUUUGCACGUUGUUACGGGGUUGGGAAAGGCAAAGGAAUGGGUUGAAAAAUUUGCUGCGCGGUCGAUCGUAAAUCAUCGGUGUCGAAGCGUCGAAUAAGUUACGACUGCUGAAUCGAAAAUCCCGAUAAACUUGCAAUUACGUCCUGUGAAAAACGAUUUUUCCAGGCUAGGCCGCUUUUUGGUUAUAAUAUCCCCGACGUUGAUGCUAAUGGACCGGCUUCCACGAUCCUUUUCUCACGAAUUUUUAAGAUUUCAUUUCGUCGAAGAAGAUUUAUAACGUAACAACCCGUACAACAGAUAAUCGUCGAAUAUUUUAACACGAUUUCGAUCCAUACGCGUCUCUUGUACGAGUAUCAACACCACAGUUCCGAGAAGUCGAAUUAUCGAACACGUGUUAGCUACGAUAAACAAAUAUCGAGGAAGAUUAAACGGGAGACGACAAGCAACAAUGAGUAACGUUUCCAUAACAAAAACAGAAGUAAAAUCCAUGCCUAUCGUGCCACUGCUCGUUUCUCAGAACUGUAGAUAAAUAGCUAGCCGGUCGUAUCCAGAUAGAACCGGAUACAACGGAUGAAGUGUCGUCCCGAAAAUACGUGGCUCUCCUCAGUCAGAGCGAAACAGGCUACGCGCGAGCAACCGUGAUAAAGUGGGCACGGAGAAGCGACGAGGGAAGCGUAAAAGUGGUGCGCCGCCAUCCUCCCACGCUCGCUUAUACCCGCGUUCGCGUGUGUUCCACGCGGGGGUGGAGGAGGAGAGGAUCACGUACACCUAUACAUUAUCUAGCACCCAUUUUGGUGGCGUCGUGACGUGGUUUGCCCGAGUUUACGGGCCUGCUCCAUCACGCGAGUGCUUAGCUUAUCUCAAUGCGACACAACAUAUCUGCAAGCUCUCCCAGAGAGAAACCAGCGACAGGUGGCAGCCAUGCCAACGAUCCACGGUCAAACGACACUCUGGAUUUAGAAAGUCGAAGAUCAACCCGAUUUAUAUCCGUUUCGAGAGGAACACAGUGAUCUACGCCAUCAAGAAUUAAUUCAAUUUCGUACGAUUACGUCAUCGACCUUCAACUCAAGAUAGGAUGAACAAGAAUUCUUCACAUCUACAGUGAAUUGAUUAAUCGAAGGGUACGGCGAUAAUAUCUGUAGUGGCACGAAUAGAAAUUUGUCACUCGCUGUCUUCUCCGCUCGAUUCCUCUUCCGCGAUUUCGUUACCGAGUUCGGAGGGGAGAGAUCAUCCAUUGUGGGGGACAAAAGGAUGAAAGGGAGUGCGAUUGUGCUGGGUAAUUUAACGAAGUGUCGGUCGAGAUGGUGGGAUUCGGGGAAUUGCGAUGCGUGGCCACCGUAAUGAAAGGAGGGAUAGCGAGGGGACAGAAAGAUGUAAGUAAGGGAGGAAGAGAUCUUCGUAUAAGAUUUGUUAGUUAAUCUUCUCGAUGAGACUAGAUUAGUAAUGUAGCUUCCAGUUUUUUUUAAAUAAUAAGUUGGACGAAAUGUUUCUCUCGUAUAACAAUUCGAUCGCCAAUUACAAUAUUUAACGUAUUAUAAUUUAAUUAUAAAUCUUUUUACUUCUUAUUCGAACGAGAGAAAAUUUCACCGGUCCAGCAAUUUUUUCGAAACUUUUUCGAGAUCGUUCGAAGUUGAGGAAAACGGAAGAUUAAUUGUACAAUUAUGCGCAAAUCUUUAUAAUUCUCAUAACACCGCUCGUUUAGGAGUGAAAUUCAUCGUGCGCGCGAAUUUCCAUUGGAUUUCAAUUGGUUCUAAAAAAGACAGGACUCGAGUAGGAAGCGGCGGAGUUAAAUCCGGAUGUUUUCCAGGCCCGAUUGUAUAAGUCGCGGAAAAAGGAACAGCGGAGGGCGAGUAGGGCAAUAAAAUUGAUCACCUCGAAAUCCGCAUGAUAGGAAGAAAAGAAGAGGGAGAGAGGGAGAGGGGGAAAAGGAGGGGAGGGUAGGAACGCAUUAAAGUGCUUUGCGCUCGGUCGAGCUACGAAUUUCAAUCUGGAGCCUCGAAACGAUCGACCCUCCAGACAGAAUAGACCUGGAUAAAAGAGAGAUUAUCGGUUCGUACCCUUUUGAAAACUGGAGAUACCGAACUUUUCAUAUCUCUAGAAUGUGAUGAGCUAGUGACCCUGUUAAAUGCCUGUGAUCAGGGCGGGAAAUUCAUUCAAAAUUAAACUAACCCCCGCCCUUAAAAGCGAGUAACUUCCAUAACAUCUCCCCUCCUCGUCCAACGCGAAAGAACAUCGUCUCUGGCUCGAAGCUUUCGACAAGCUUUAUCCAUUCCGACGAUCUAUUAUCUUGUUAUUUAUUUAAUUAUUAUAAAAUCAUCAAAUUUUACUUUCGAUUUUGAAAUUCCAAACUCCCAAUUAUUACAUUUAUACUUAUCCUUAAACGAAUGUUAGGUCUUAUUGUCUGCGUGAAAAUGGCUACAGAAACGUGAUUCCACAUCGAGAAAGAAAAAUUUUCGACGAAACGCUUUCGAAAAAAACGAACGCUAUUCGCAACGUGUAAAAACGAUACGAAGCAUCGGUUUUUCUGGUCGUCUUUACACCUCGUCUCGUUCGCCGGCGAUUCUUCCAGCAAACGAUAACAUUACAGCACAUGGGUUAACCCCGCCACCCCGCUCGUCCCAUAGUGUACCAGGGCCAUAAAUGCAGCCGUGAUCCCACGGUAUCUGUCACUGGAUGACGCGUACGAUCCCUGACUCCGUCUGCAGAAACCUUGAGGGACGUUGUACGGACACUGGACGCCACUUACGACGCGCAAACAUACCCUCCCCUCGCGGCCCCGACCCCUUUUCCACGAUCUUGCUCUACACACACAGCUCGAAGGCUCGUAGCCGGUGAAGAGAAAGUGGACACGUUAGGCAGGAAGACGGAAGAAGAGGGCCGGAUGUUUCAGUGGAAGGUUGCGAAGGUCCUCGGGGGUUGGACUGUGUCCACAAGGGUGCCACUGGUGAACCGGUCCGGGGAGGGGGAGGUGUUCCAGAGUACACACCCGGUAUAAGUAACGAGCCGUCGCUUUGAAUGACCUGACCGCGUAUAAAAUGCAUGGGAUUUCGCUCUAAUGCCAGCCGGGGAGUUUGCCAGGGAGCGUAUUUAGUCCCGAAAGAUGAAUGUAACAGGUCUCUUUUGAGCCCGCCCACCGGGAAAGGAAAUGGGGGAGAGACGAAAGUACCCAAAGGAUGUACAUGUAGUCGUGGUCCUUGCUCUAUUCGGAAUCACAAAUUGGUCUUUCGGGAGAUCUGGCCGCCUGUCACGUGAUCCUUGCCGAUCCUUACAAGCCUUUAAUGCUUUGACCUCGAGAUUUGGCCUCGAGGCUGGGGCCUCGAGAAACGGGCCAAGUGUUCGACCAUUUUCCUCUCGUCGCGAAGAAUCGAACGAGCGAGCGAUCGAUCGUCUUUAAAAUGAAUAUCUCGUCAUCAUAUUGUUAUCCACUAAUUAUUUUUCUUUCUCAAUUUGCAUAUUUUAACAAAGCGUUUGUCCAAAUAAUAAACCGAUUUUUUCUCCAAGUUUCUCCUGGAACGGAAAGCGUAUCGAAUCGUAUAUUCGAUGAAUCAUAGGAGGAAAAUACGGCAAAUCCUGUUCAAAUUCGAAAACGUUUCGCGAGGAUCGGUAAAGGAGCCUAGAUACGUGGGAACGACCAUCGACGAGUCGAGUCUAGUUGGGUAGACCAACCCUCUCAUCCCCCUUCGACGAAGAAAACAAAACGACUUGGGUGAAAAGAAGGUACGUGGAUGCUUGCGAGGGCACGGAGGUGGAGAUGAUACUAGACGAGGAGACGAACAGGGAGGGAGGGAGGGGUGAACGUGGAGGAGCUGAACACCCUGGGGAGCCGGCAGCUCGUUACGCGAGACGUGGUACGCCUCUCCUUUCCUCCCUUCUGUACACCCUCUUCCCCCUUCCGCCGCCCUAUUCUCCUUUUCUCUCCGCUCCCUUCCCCGUGAUUCUCUCCUCAAACCUUGAUCCUUUUGCACAUCUAUCUCUACGCUCCUCCCUCGCCCCACGUUUUCAAGGUAGCGCCACUCUGAAUAAUGUCCCACGUACACGUUUGUGUCUUCCCUCCCUUCCUCCCUCUCUCUCUCUAUAUAUAUAUACACGCACGUAUCGCUACUCAGUAACAAGUGGAUAUUAUGCUGGCGCGGCUGCCUCCCUGAACUUUGCUUUGAAGCGAGGGAUACCGAUGAGAAGACACGGAAGACACGAGAAGCUUGUUCGAAUUGGUUUCUAAGCUUUCCAAUUGAGCACAAUCUCACGAUCUCUCCUCUAAUUGAUUGUACAAUAUACGUCAUAAUAAUAGAAUUUACAAGAAUUUUGAGUGAAAAAAAAAUCACUCGUGGGAUGCACUCGAAUGCAACAACCGAAUGAACGAAACGUCUUUAUGAAAGUUACUAGCAUAGAGAUGCAUAGAUGUUUCAAACUUCUUCGAACAAAGAGGAGCGAUAACAAUUCGAGAGAUAUUUCACCCUUAACAUUUCCCUUCCUCCUCUCCAUCAACAUUAAUUUAUCCUGUUUAUCCUGAAACUUGUUGUGUCUACUGUCUUUACGUUUCGGAAUAAGUUAACCGUUCGUUGUCAGAACUUUUCGCAUAAGCGUAAUCAAGUUGCCGCUUUCGAAACGAGAUAAAUUCACGCACAACUGAUGAAUAACGGUCAAUUAAAUGAUUUCAAUUAUUAUAAAUCAAUCAUACCUUGUGAUGUGCCUGACCUAUCUGCAUAACGUAUAUUUUUUUAUAAAAAAAAAGAAUACUAGUUUUGCAAUACUCUCAGUCAGUUUAGAUUUAAUCGCUUUCGAUAUUCUUUUCAUACUCAUCUUAUUGUCUUUCUUCAGACGUACGUGCAUUCAACGCGAUAGACAAUGCGAGACCAAAGAAGAAGAUGUACGUAUAUAAAGAAUAGCAACCGAUGAGGAAAGAAAAAAAAAA